AACGCGAAGAACCUUACCUGGGUUGAACUACGCAGGAAAAGCCGUAGAGAUACGGUGUCCGUAAGGGUCUGCGAUAGGUGGUGCAUGGCUGUCGUCAGCUCGUGUCGUGAGAUGUUGGGUUAAGUCCCGCAACGAGCGCAACCCUUGUCCUAUGUUGCCAGCGGGUAAUGCCGGGGACUCGUAGGAGACUGCCGGGGUCAACUCGGAGGAAGGUGGGGAUGACGUCAAGUCAUCAUGCCCCUUACGCCCAGGGCUGCACACAUGCUACAAUGGCCGGUACAAAGGGCUGCUAUCCCGCGAGGGUGAGCGAAUCCCAAAAAGCCGGUCUCAGUUCGGAUCGCAGUCUGCAACUCGACUGCGUGAAGUCGGAGUCGCUAGUAAUCCCGGAUCAGCAACGCCGGGGUGAAUACGUUCCCGGGCCUUGUA
This 426-nucleotide ribosomal RNA is filed under the name uncultured Actinomycetes bacterium. RNAcentral's name for it is "bacterial SSU rRNA". It matches the Rfam family "Bacterial small subunit ribosomal RNA", at positions 958 to 1385 of the family's 1533-position model. Lineage: Bacteria; Bacillati; Actinomycetota; Actinomycetes. The record is from RNAcentral.